RNAcentral lists this ribosomal RNA (435 nucleotides) under uncultured bacterium. RNAcentral describes it as "bacterial SSU rRNA". It matches the Rfam family "Bacterial small subunit ribosomal RNA", at positions 958 to 1392 of the family's 1533-position model. The record is from RNAcentral.
AACGCGAAGAACCUUACCUAAGCUUGACAUCCUUUUGACCGAUGCCUAAUCGCAUCUUUCCCUUCGGGGACAGAAGUGACAGGUGGUGCAUGGUUGUCGUCAGCUCGUGUCGUGAGAUGUUGGGUUAAGUCCCGCAACGAGCGCAACCCUUGCUUUUAGUUGCCAGCAUUAAGUUGGGCACUCUAGAGGGACUGCCAGGGAUAACCUGGAGGAAGGUGGGGAUGACGUCAAAUCAUCAUGCCCCUUAUGCUUAGGGCUACACACGUGCUACAAUGGGUGGUACAGAGGGCAGCCAAGUCGUGAGGCGGAGCUAAUCCCUUAAAGCCAUUCUCAGUUCGGAUUGUAGGCUGAAACUCGCCUACAUGAAGCUGGAGUUACUAGUAACCGCAGAUCAGAAUGCUGCGGUGAAUGCGUUCCCGGGUCUUGUACACACCG